Molecule: long non-coding RNA, 288 nt
Filed under: Dermacentor andersoni
Lineage: Eukaryota; Metazoa; Arthropoda; Arachnida; Ixodida; Ixodidae
Description: uncharacterized LOC126539785
Source: RNAcentral
CCACUUAAGAUGGCGGCUGCGUGAAAACAGCUGAUCGGUUCUGUGGGCCGCUCUUGGUGUAUUUUUGUCCGUAACGUGAUUAGAUGAAAUCUCGCCGUACGAGGUACUUUCGCCCGAGAAGAAUUCUGGAAGCUGUGAACAUCAUGAAGACUGUGAAAGCGUAGUGCUCGGAUACGGAAGAAUCGAUGAAGGUUGGAAGGCAUCUCAACAGAUAGCUGGAAGACGGGAGGCGGAAAGUUGGGCGGCCUGGAGGGUCGCGUGCUCGCCGUGCUCGGCCUUACCGGCCCA